Non-coding RNA from Salvia hispanica, 323 nucleotides. NCBI's taxonomy places the organism in Eukaryota, Viridiplantae, Streptophyta, Magnoliopsida, Lamiales, Lamiaceae. The record is from RefSeq and is a predicted model, not a curated record.
UAACUACCAAAUCCAUGAAUAUCUCUAUCAGUUUUGCCUAUAAGAUCCCACAUUCACGUCCUUUUCAAACUCUACUGCAGUUCUUUCUUCUCUUUCAUACGAAGCGUUGAAAGGGGAAGACCGAGAGAGCUGUGGAUUUAAUUCAUCUUGUCAUUCUCUUCUUCCUAAAGAUUGAGCGACGACGGGCGUGGAGGAUGUUGAGCAGAAUUCAUGGAUUAUUUAUGUUUGGCUUAGUAUCGUUGGAUAUGUCGUGUCUUCAUACUCGGCAUUUUCCGUGUCUUGAACGCUUCCGCUAAGUGUCUUUUCUUUAGAAUCGUUUUAGU